UACCAGCACCCCGAGUGGUCGGGACGAUUAUUGGGCCUAAAGCAUCCGUAGCCGGUUUUACAAGUCCUCCGUUAAAUCCAACUGCUUAACAGAUGGGCCGCGGAGGAUACUAUAGAGCUAGGAGGCGGGAGAGGCAAGCGGUACUCGAUGGGUAGGGGUAAAAUCCGUUGAUCCAUUGAAGACCACCAGUGGCGAAGGCGGCUUGCCAGAACGCGCUCGACGGUGAGGGAUGAAAGCUGGGGGAGCAAACCGG
RNAcentral lists this ribosomal RNA (253 nucleotides) under uncultured bacterium. RNAcentral's name for it is "partial 16S ribosomal RNA". It matches the Rfam family "Archaeal small subunit ribosomal RNA", at positions 474 to 727 of the family's 1478-position model. The record is from RNAcentral.